CUGAAGGCGUAGAGGCUGAAGGCCUGUGUGUCCAGAGGUCAGGCAUGGCAGUGGCAGUAGCAGUUUAAUGUCCACUGCCAGUAGGUGCCUCACCUCACUUCACCACAUGGCUGUGUCAGGGAGAGGGCUGUCAGUCUCCAUGCCCAUAAGUUCUCAGCUGCU
This 162-nucleotide small RNA is filed under the name Octodon degus (degu). Its description in RNAcentral is "TUC338 (ENSODEG00000022578.1)". The record is from RNAcentral. Lineage: Eukaryota; Metazoa; Chordata; Mammalia; Rodentia; Octodontidae.